UUCUGGUUGAUCCCGCCGGAGGCUACCGCUGUUGGAGUUCGAUUAAGCCAUGCGAGUCGCGAGUCUUAGGGACUCGGCGUACCGCUCAGUAACACGUGGGUAACCUGCCCUAUGCUGGGGGAUAACCUCGGGAAACUGAGAAUAAUACCCCAUAGUUCACCACGCCUGGAACGGUGGGUGGACCAAAGCUCCGGCGGCAUAGGAUGGGCCUGCGGCGUAUCAGGUUGUAGGGGGUGUAAUGUACCCUCUAGCCCUCUACGCGUACGGGUGUUGAGAGACAUCGCCCGGAGAUGGAUUCUGAGACACGAAUCCAGACCCUACGGGGUGCAGCAGGCGCGAAAACUUGGCAAUGCGAGAAAUCGUGACCAGGGAACUCCAAGUGCAUCGGGUAAGACCGAUGCUUUUCUUGACUCUUCAAAGGUCUUGGAAUAAGGGGUGGGUAAGGACGGUGCCAGCCGCCGCGGUAAUACCGGCGCCCCAAGUGGUAGUCGCUUUUAUUGGGCCUAAAACGUCCGUAGCCGGUCUGGUACAUUCGUGGGUAAAUCAACCAGCUCAACUGGUUGAAUUCUGCGAGCACGGCCAGACUUGGGACCGGGAGAGGUGUGGGGUACUCUCAGGGUAGGGGUAAAAUCCUGUCAUCCUGAGAGGACCACCUGUUGCGAAGGCGCCACACUAGAACGGAUCCGACGGUCAGGGACGAAGCCUAGGGGCACGAACCGGAUUAGAUACCCGGGUAGUCCUAGGUGUAAACGCUGUGGACUUGAUGUUGGGGGCGCUCCGAGCGCACUCAGUGUCGAAGCGAAGGUGAUAAGUCCACUGCCUGGGGAGUACGGUCGCAAGGCUGAAACUUAAAGGAAUUGGCGGGGGAGCACCGCAACCUGAGGAUUGUGCGGUUUA
Molecule: ribosomal RNA, 897 nt
Filed under: uncultured archaeon
Lineage: Archaea
Description: bacterial SSU rRNA
Rfam family: Archaeal small subunit ribosomal RNA
Source: RNAcentral